CCUACGGGAGACUGCAGUGGGGAAUAUUGCGCAAUGGACGAAAGUCUGAUGGAGCAACGCCGCGUGAGUGAAGAAGGGUUUCGGCUCGUAAAGCUCUGUUGGUAGUGAAGAAAGAUAGAGGUAGUAACUGGCCUUUAUUUGACGGUAAUUACUUAGAAAGUCACGGCUAACUACGUGCCAGCAGCCGCGGUAAUACGUAGGUGGCAAGCGUUGUCCGGAUUUAUUGGGCGUAAAGCGAGUGCAGGCGGUUCAAUAAGUCUGAUGUGAAAGCCUUCGGCUCAACCGGAGAAUUGCAUCAGAAACUGUUGGACUUGAGUGCAGAAGAGGAGAGUGGAACUCCAUGUGUAGCGGUGGAAUGCGUAGAUAUAUGGAAGAACACCAGUGGCGAAGGCGGCUCUCUGGUCUGCAACUGACGCUGAGGCUCGAAAGCAUGGGUAGCGAACAGGAUUAGAUACCCUUGUAGUC
This 465-nucleotide ribosomal RNA is filed under the name uncultured bacterium. RNAcentral's name for it is "partial 16S ribosomal RNA". It matches the Rfam family "Bacterial small subunit ribosomal RNA", at positions 338 to 795 of the family's 1533-position model. The record is from RNAcentral.